Non-coding RNA from Schizosaccharomyces pombe (fission yeast), 480 nucleotides. Lineage: Eukaryota; Fungi; Ascomycota; Schizosaccharomycetes; Schizosaccharomycetales; Schizosaccharomycetaceae. The record is from the annotation of a GenBank genome assembly.
GAUAAAAUCUCUUGCAAGUGAUUAUGGAGAAGUUAAGUUAUCAUUUCUAAACAAGUAUUGAGAGGAAUUAUGAAUGGCGUGCCAUGGUAAUGCUUGGCAAUUGUAUCUGCUAUACAGGUUAUGUAUAACAGCUGAGAUAUAUCAAACACCACAUAAUAUUACUAUUGCUGCUUAUGUAGUAGUCUUGCACCAUUGCGUUAUGUGAUAACUCAAUUUCAAGGACUCACUAUCCCUUAUCCAAAUAAUAUUUGUAAUGUCAGUUGUGGAGCUACUAUUUUAAAUUAUUAAAAGAUUCAAGACAAAAAAUAAAAAAGUUAGGAAUAGCCUACAGCACCCCGGAUUCCCAUGUUGUCUCCAACCAUAGUACUAACGAGGCCCUCAGACGCUUAACUGCAGUGAUCGGACGGGAACUGGUGUUUUCGCCUAGGUAUGGCCGUAGACGUUUGUACCUAACGAUAAUUCUUUUUAAAAUUAAACAAA